This 223-nucleotide ribosomal RNA is filed under the name uncultured bacterium. Its description in RNAcentral is "partial 16S ribosomal RNA". It matches the Rfam family "Bacterial small subunit ribosomal RNA", at positions 111 to 334 of the family's 1533-position model. The record is from RNAcentral.
UAACGCGUGAGGAACCUGCCUUUCAGAGGGGGACAACAGUUGGAAACGACUGCUAAUACCGCAUGACACAUAGAGAUCGCAUGGUUUUUAUGUCAAAGAUUUAUUGCCUUUGGAUGAGCUCGCGUCUGAUUAGCUGGUUGGCGGGGUAACGGCCCACCAAGGCGACGAUCAGUAGCCGGACUGAGAGGUUGAACGGCCACAUUGGGACUGAGACACGGCCCAG